ACUGCUCAGUAACACGUGGAUAACCUGCCCUUGGGUCCGGCAUAACCCCGGGAAACUGGGGAUGAUUCCGGAUAACGCACAUAUGCUGGAAUGCUUUAUGCGUAAAAUGGAUUCGUCUGCCCAAGGAUGGGUCUGCGGCCUAUCAGGUAGUAGUGGGUGUAAUGUACCUACUAGCCAACAACGGGUACGGGUUGUGAGAGCAAGAGCCCGGAGAUGGAUUCUGAGACAUGAAUCCAGGCCCUACGGGGCGCAGCAGGCGCGAAAACUUUACAAUGCGGGAAACCGUGAUAAGGGGACACCGAGUGCCAGCAUCAUAUGCUGGCUGUCCAGGUGUGUAAAAUACACCUGUUAGCAAGGGCCGGGCAAGACCGGUGCCAGCCGCCGCGGUAACACCGGCGGCCCGAGUGGUGAUCGUGAUUAUUGGGUCUAAAGGGUCCGUAGCCGGUUUGGUCAGUCCUCCGGGAAAUCUGACGGCUCAACCGUUAGGCUUUCGGGGGAUACUGCCAGGCUUGGAACCGGGAGAGGUAAGAGGUACUACAGGGGUAGGAGUGAAAUCUUGUAAUCCCUGUGAGACCACCUGUGGCGAAGGCGUCUUACCAGAACGGGUUCGACGGUGAGGGACGAAAGCUGGGGGCACGAACCGGAUUAGAUACCCGGGUAGUCCCAGCCGUAAACGAUGCUCGCUAGGUGUCAGGCAUGGCGCGACCGUGUCUGGUGCCGCAGGGAAGCCGUGGAGCGAGCCACCUGGGAAGUACGGCCGCAAGGCUGAAACUUAAAGGAAUUGGCGGGGGAGCAC
Molecule: ribosomal RNA, 796 nt
Filed under: uncultured Methanosarcinaceae archaeon
Lineage: Archaea; Methanobacteriati; Methanobacteriota; Methanomicrobia; Methanosarcinales; Methanosarcinaceae
Description: bacterial SSU rRNA
Rfam family: Archaeal small subunit ribosomal RNA
Source: RNAcentral